Orussus abietinus is the source of this 605-nucleotide long non-coding RNA. RefSeq lists it as uncharacterized. NCBI's taxonomy places the organism in Eukaryota, Metazoa, Arthropoda, Insecta, Hymenoptera, Orussidae. The record is from RefSeq and is a predicted model, not a curated record. The transcript has 2 exons.
CCCAACUAGCCUAGUAUUUUAACUCAGCUCUAGUAAAACUGAUUUCCGAAUAUUUAUAGCAAAAUGAAGUAUAUAUUCUUUCUAGCUGUUUUAAUAACUGUCGAUCCAGUUUGGGCUUCAAGUAACUUUGAUUUUGGUGAUAUGUUAGCACUCGUUUUGGGAUUGGUGAUCAGUAUUGUUGGUUUCUUUGCUUGCAUGGGAGCUUACGCACGACGAAAACAUUUAGAAUCAUUACAACAUGAGUAACUGUUAUGACUUUUUGUAUUCUAUUGGACUGUGAGCGAGUAUAUGUAAAAAAUAAGUUGGAGUUACUGGUCGACAGCUGUCCGGAAACAGGAUGAAAAAGAUCAAUAUAUUGUACAUAGAUUUACAUUUAUGUUCCUUAUAACGAUUGUUUUAUACUGGUAAUAAUAAAAAUUGUAAUGUUAUUCUGCUAACAAUAAGAAAAACAAAAUGUUUUGUGGUCUAAUGUUCAGUGGCACUAUAACUUCUUAUUUUAUGUUUGCAUUGAUCAAAGUGGUUAUGUAAAAAAUACAUUCAUAUACUUUUGUUUAAGAUAUGCAACUGUUAUAAUGGCUUUCAGUAAAUAAAUAUUUUUAUAAUUA